CCUACGGGUGGCAGCAGUGAGGAAUAUUGGUCAAUGGGCGAGAGCCUGAACCAGCCAAGUAGCGUGAAGGAUGACUGCCCUAUGGGUUGUAAACUUCUUUUAUAUGGGAAUAAAGUGAUGCACGUGUGCCUUUUUGUAUGUACCAUAUGAAUAAGGAUCGGCUAACUCCGUGCCAGCAGCCGCGGUAAUACGGAGGAUCCGAGCGUUAUCCGGAUUUAUUGGGUUUAAAGGGAGCGUAGGUGGAUUGUUAAGUCAGUUGUGAAAGUUUGCGGCUCAACCGUAAAAUUGCAGUUGAAACUGGCAGUCUUGAGUACAGUUGAGGUAGGCGGAAUUCGUGGUGUAGCGGUGAAAUGCUUAGAUAUCACGAAGAACUCCGAUUGCGAAGGCAGCUUACUAAACUGCAACUGACACUGAGGCUCGAAAGUGUGGGUAUCAAACAGGAUUAGAUACCCCGGUAGUC
This 460-nucleotide ribosomal RNA is filed under the name uncultured bacterium. RNAcentral's name for it is "partial 16S ribosomal RNA". It matches the Rfam family "Bacterial small subunit ribosomal RNA", at positions 338 to 795 of the family's 1533-position model. The record is from RNAcentral.